UCCCGGAUGUUAGCGGCGGACGGGUGAGUAACACGUGGGUAACCUGCCUGUAAGACUGGGAUAACUCCGGGAAACCGGAGCUAAUACCGGAUAGUUCCUUGAACCGCAUGGUUCAAGGAUGAAAGACGGUUUCGGCUGUCACUUACAGAUGGACCCGCGGCGCAUUAGCUAGUUGGUGGGGUAAUGGCUCACCAAGGCGACGAUGCGUAGCCGACCUGAGAGGGUGAUCGGCCACACUGGGACUGAGACACGGCCCAGACUCCUACGGGAGGCAGCAGUAGGGAAUCUUCCGCAAUGGACGAAAGUCUGACGGAGCAACGCCGCGUGAGUGAUGAAGGUUUUCGGAUCGUAAAGCUCUGUUGUUAGGGAAGAACAAGUGCGAGAGUAACUGCUCGCACCUUGACGGUACCUAACCAGAAAGCCACGGCUAACUACGUGCCAGCAGCC
RNAcentral lists this ribosomal RNA (447 nucleotides) under Bacillus pumilus. Its description in RNAcentral is "bacterial SSU rRNA". It matches the Rfam family "Bacterial small subunit ribosomal RNA", at positions 83 to 516 of the family's 1533-position model. Lineage: Bacteria; Bacillati; Bacillota; Bacilli; Caryophanales; Bacillaceae. The record is from RNAcentral.